This 1346-nucleotide ribosomal RNA is filed under the name uncultured bacterium. RNAcentral describes it as "partial 16S ribosomal RNA". It matches the Rfam family "Bacterial small subunit ribosomal RNA", at positions 28 to 1381 of the family's 1533-position model. The record is from RNAcentral.
GACGAACGCUCUCGGCGUGCUUAACACAUGCAAGUCGAACGGAAAGGCCCUGCUUUUGUGGGGUGCUCGAGUGGCGAACGGGUGAGUAACACGUGAGUAACCUGCCCUUGACUUUGGGAUAACUUCAGGAAACUGGGGCUAAUACCGGAUAGGAGCUCCUGCUGCAUGGUGGGGGUUGGAAAGUUUCGGCGGUUGGGGAUGGACUCGCGGCUUAUCAGCUUGUUGGUGGGGUAGUGGCUUACCAAGGCUUUGACGGGUAGCCGGCCUGAGAGGGUGACCGGCCACAUUGGGACUGAGAUACGGCCCAGACUCCUACGGGAGGCAGCAGUGGGGAAUAUUGCACAAUGGGCGGAAGCCUGAUGCAGCAACGCCGCGUGCGGGAUGACGGCCUUCGGGUUGUAAACCGCUUUCGCCUGUGACGAAGCGUGAGUGACGGUAAUGGGUAAAGAAGCACCGGCUAACUACGUGCCAGCAGCCGCGGUGAUACGUAGGGUGCGAGCGUUGUCCGGAUUUAUUGGGCGUAAAGGGCUCGUAGGUGGUUGAUCGCGUCGGAAGUGUAAUCUUGGGGCUUAACCCUGAGCGUGCUUUCGAUACGGGUUGACUUGAGGAAGGUAGGGGAGAAUGGAAUUCCUGGUGGAGCGGUGGAAUGCGCAGAUAUCAGGAGGAACACCAGUGGCGAAGGCGGUUCUCUGGGCCUUUCCUGACGCUGAGGAGCGAAAGCGUGGGGAGCGAACAGGCUUAGAUACCCUGGUAGUCCACGCUGUAAACGGUGGGUACUAGGUGUGGGGUCCAUUCCACGGGUUCCGUGCCGUAGCUAACGCUUUAAGUACCCCGCCUGGGGAGUACGGCCGCAAGGCUAAAACUCAAAGGAAUUGACGGGGCCCCGCACAAGCGGCGGAGCAUGCGGAUUAAUUCGAUGCAACGCGUAGAACCUUACCUGGGUUUGACAUGGAUCGGGAGUGCUCAGAGAUGGGUGUGCCUCUUUUGGGGUCGGUUCACAGGUGGUGCAUGCCUGUCGUCAGCUCGUGUCGUGAGAUGUUGGGUUAAGUCCCGCAACGAGCGCAACCCUUGUUCACUGUUGCCAGCACGUUAUGGUGGGGACUCAGUGGAGACCGCCGGGGUCAACUCGGAGGAAGGUGGGGACGACGUCAAGUCAUCAUGCCCCUUAUGUCCAGGGCUUCACGCAUGCUACAAUGGCUGGUACAGAGAGUGGCGAGCCUGUGAGGGUGAGCGAAUCUCGGAAAGCCGGUCUCAGUUCGGAUUGGGGUCUGCAACUCGACCUCAUGAAGUCGGAGUCGCUAGUAAUCGCAGAUCAGCAACGCUGCGGUGAAUACGUUCCCGGGGCU